GUCGAGAAUUUUUCUCAAUGGGGGAAACCCUGAAGGAGCGACGCCGCGUGGGGGAUGAAGGGCUUCGGCUCGUAAACCCCUGUCAUUUGUGAGCAAGUGUUAUUGUUUAAGAGAUGAUGACAUUGAUAGUAGCAAAAGAGGAAGGGACGGCUAACUCUGUGCCAGCAGCCGCGGUAAUACAGAGGUCCCAAGCGUUGUUCGGAAUCACUGGGCGUAAAGGGUGCGUAGGCGGUAUAGUAAGACUUGGGUGAAAUCUCCAUGCUUAACGUGGAGGGAGCCUGGGAGACUGCUGUGCUAGAGGAUUGGAAGGGAGACUGGAAUUCUUGGAGUAGCAGUGAAAUGCGUAGAUAUCAAGAGGAACACCAGUGGCGAAGGCGAGUCUCUGGACAAGACCUGACGCUGAGGCACGAAGGCCAGGGGAUCAAACGGGAUUAGAUACCCGGGUAGUCC
This 450-nucleotide ribosomal RNA is filed under the name uncultured bacterium. RNAcentral's name for it is "partial 16S ribosomal RNA". It matches the Rfam family "Bacterial small subunit ribosomal RNA", at positions 354 to 796 of the family's 1533-position model. The record is from RNAcentral.